UGCGUAGGUGGUUUCUUAGGUCAGAGGGGAAAGGCUACGGCUCAACCGUAGUAAGCCUUUGAAACUGGGAAACUUGAGUGCAGGAGAGGAGAGUGGAAUUCCUAGUGUAGCGGUGAAAUGCGUAGAUAUUAGGAGGAACACCAGUUGCGAAGGCGGCUCUCUGGACUGUAACUGACACUGAGGCACGAAAGCGUGGGGAGCAAACA
Molecule: ribosomal RNA, 206 nt
Filed under: uncultured bacterium
Lineage: Bacteria
Description: partial 16S ribosomal RNA
Rfam family: Bacterial small subunit ribosomal RNA
Source: RNAcentral